CGCGCCGUAUUAAGAAGCAUUUAAAUAAAAAUACCGACGGGAAUCGUGUCGUGUGUUUUGCGAGACUCGCUAUUUUUUUCAAAGAAAAGAAAAAGAAAAGUGUUUCCUAUUUUUUAUUUCGCCCGUCAGGAUCGAUACGAUGGUGUCUUUGAGUGAUGUACGACCGCUUUUGCAUACCGCGAGUUUGUUCGGAUGCGGAUUGUACGUUAUCAGCGAGGAUGAUAUCGUGAUGAUGAAAUACAGUGUCGUUUACUCUGGCCUGUUCGCGUUGAUGUAUACUAGUUUCUGUAUAAUGAAUUUUUAUAUGCUUUGGAUGGACGAUGUGUUGGAUCCGAGGCUUUUGAUGCUCACCGUCCUCAGAACGAUACUCUGUUACGCUUGCGUCUUGACCGACAUUGCGAUGACUUUGUGGUAUAACUGGAAAAUACGAGCUGCACUCUCGCAAUUACGCAUCUUCGAUCGAGCGACAAAAUGCAAGGAGGGUAAACGCUCUUGCCGAAUACGUUACGUCUGUUGGGUUUUGUCCUUCGUGAUUUUAUUGUUUUGGUCGAUAGUCGGAUACAUAACAUCUCAACUUAAACCUACUUCGUACUUUAAUGAUCUUCAUCGUGUAACAAUGCCGUCAUUCACAAUUUCAUCAUCCGUAGAGUCGAGCCCAGAUAUUCUGUAUUCAAUGGUCUAACUUACGCCGUCGUUAAUGCGACAAUGUCGAUGCAACUGAUAACGUUUGCCAGCCUGUCAUCCCUGCUGUACGAGAGAUUUCACCGUCUCUGUGAAAUAUUACUACUACCUGAAGAUGGCAAAAUCAUGGUGAUGGAUCGAUUGAGCAGGCAGUUUCGCUUGCAAGAGGUAUGGUGGUUACACUCGUGUCUCACCAACGGGACUGAAAUGAUAAAUUCCGUAUACGCGGUGCAGCUUUUGCUGUGGAUCUCCAGCAUGUCUUUCAAUACCCUAACGCGCAUUUAUACGAUCAACGAUGGUGGUGCGACUUCGCAUCCGUUAUUGAUAAUAAGGGAAGUAAUGUUGGUAUCCGCUUGCGUAACAAAUUUAUUGAUCAUCAGCAUCAUUUGUCACGCGACCGCGAAUCAGGCAAAUCGCGUCGGCAAGAUUGCCUUCGCUCCGUCAUCGACUGUUCUUGCGAAGCGAAAUUUUAUGCAGGACUGCAAUGUGGAAGCUGUAACGUAUUUUCAACUACAACAAGUGCACUACUAUGCCUUCUUCGGAAUUAUACGCAUCGAUCUUCCAUUGCUACUCUCAAUAGCCUCUGGUAUAACUACAUAUCUAGUGAUUCUUCAUAGCGCUAAUAUCUAGCAUAAUCUUCAGGAUACAACGUUAUGUUUGUGCGAUCAAUCGAUCGAUCGAUCGAUUUAUCGUUCGACCACUAAUUCCAGCCUCAUCUCUUCUCACGGCUUUAAUGAAUCAGCGAUCAAUAACAUGUUGAAAGAAAGGAUGCGGAGCCUCGUUUUUACGUAAAAGGCAACUUUGUGAAGGGGAGAACAAGUGUUUGCCUGUAACAGAAUACACUUGAAAUUUGGCCGCGGCUCUUUUGCAUUGAGAGCACGUUGUGACAACGGCAACACGAGUCGCAAGCGCGCGACAUGUCGUUUCGUUCAUCGAUCGGCCGGCAGCGGAUGCUGAAAAAGCGUCAAUAUCGUUCCUCUGUUGUGUACAAUACGGUGGUAAUGGUUAGUAAUUUACUUGGAACAACGGCGGUAAUCGCGGGGGCUUCCUACGUUCGCAUCGCAAAAAAACACUCGGCAACUCGAAGAAUUUGCGGAUUACCGCGAUUAUAUAUAACGGAUGAUUUUUUUUACUUGAAGAACUCUUAUAAACUGCAAAAACUCGAAGAAACCUGGUGAAUACUCUUGAGACGUAAUACUCGAAAAGGCGUAUUUGGUACAAUGAGAAUUGCAAAGACUUCAGAAUCCAUUUUCGCUUCCUGCGAGUUGACGCUUUCAAUGGCUUAAAGUAGGAAAGAUUGAGAAGGAUGUUGAAUGUAUUUGUGGAAAAGAAGGAUCGUACGUUCUUAAUGCUGAACGUACCUCGCUGACAGUUGGAAAAUAUAACCAUUGA
This is an RNA transcript of Camponotus floridanus (Florida carpenter ant), 2073 nucleotides long. RefSeq lists it as uncharacterized. NCBI's taxonomy places the organism in Eukaryota, Metazoa, Arthropoda, Insecta, Hymenoptera, Formicidae. The transcript has 7 exons. The record is from RefSeq and is a predicted model, not a curated record.